AUCUUCUCCACCCACUAUCGUACAUCAAAUAGGAUUUCCUUCAUUGUUCCUUCGUCGCCACCCCUAUAUCUUCAAUUCCACCGAAUUUUCUUUGCAUAGGUGAUAGGACAAAUUGUUUGUCGGAGGUGUAUAUGGAGGUGAAUCUUAUUUAUACACCUUAAGACUCCGAGGAAGAUUUUCAAUCCAUGAGAAAAUAGAAAUUCAAUUCAUAAAGAAAUUAAAAUUCAAUUCACGAAGAAAUUGAAAUUUAAUUCAUGAGAAAAUUGAAUGAUUUACAGCGGAUUUAAUGGAAUCGGUGGUUGCACUGUUA
Molecule: long non-coding RNA, 310 nt
Filed under: Capsicum annuum
Lineage: Eukaryota; Viridiplantae; Streptophyta; Magnoliopsida; Solanales; Solanaceae
Description: long non-coding RNA (CANN_LNC011230)
Source: RNAcentral